GACGAACGCUGGCGGCGUGCUUAACACAUGCAAGUCGAACGGAAAGGCCCUGCUUUUGUGGGGUGCUCGAGUGGCGAACGGGUGAGUAACACGUGAGUAACCUGCCCUUGACUUUGGGAUAACUUCAGGAAACUGGGGCUAAUACCGGAUAGGAGCUCCUGCUGCAUGGUGGGGGUUGGAUAGUUUCGGCGGUUGGGGAUGGACUCGCGGCUUAUCAGCUUGUUGGUGGGGUAGUGGCUUACCAAGGCUUUGACGGGUAGCCGGCCUGAGAGGGUGACCGGCCACAAUGGGACUGAGAGACGGCCCAGACUCCUACGGGAGGCAGCAGUGGGGAAUAUUGCACAAUGGGCGGAAGCCUGAUGCAGCAACGCCGCGGGCGGGAUGACGGCCUUCGGGUUGUAAACCGCUUUCGCCUGUGACGAAGCGUGAGUGACGGUAAUGGGUAAAGAAGCACCGGCUAACUACGUG
This 468-nucleotide ribosomal RNA is filed under the name uncultured bacterium. Its description in RNAcentral is "partial 16S ribosomal RNA". It matches the Rfam family "Bacterial small subunit ribosomal RNA", at positions 28 to 507 of the family's 1533-position model. The record is from RNAcentral.